RNAcentral lists this small RNA (123 nucleotides) under Escherichia coli. RNAcentral's name for it is "partial RtT sRNA". It matches the Rfam family "RtT RNA". From Rfam's summary of the family: This family represents a bacterial cis-regulatory element known as RtT RNA. The exact function of RtT is unknown although it is thought that it may be involved in changing the cellular response in relation to amino acid starvation. Lineage: Bacteria; Pseudomonadati; Pseudomonadota; Gammaproteobacteria; Enterobacterales; Enterobacteriaceae. The record is from RNAcentral.
AAGCGGGGAAGGAUGAGAAGCUUCGACUAAGGUUCGACUCGAGCGCCAGCGAGAGAGCGUUGCCGCAGGCAACGACCCGAAGGGCGAAGCGCGCAGCGCUGAGUAAUCCUUCCCCCACCACCA